UUGAACGCUGGCGGCAUGCCUUACACAUGCAAGUCGAACGGCAGCACGGGAGCAAUCCUGGUGGCGAGUGGCGAACGGGUGAGUAAUAUAUCGGAACGUGCCCAGUCGUGGGGGAUAACGCAGCGAAAGCUGUGCUAAUACCGCAUACGAUCCAUGGAUGAAAGCGGGGGACUCGCAAGGGCCUCGCGCGAUUGGAGCGGCCGAUAUCAGAUUAGCUAGUUGGCGGGGUAAAGGCCCACCAAGGCGACGAUCUGUAGCUGGUCUGAGAGGACGACCAGCCACACUGGAACUGAGACACGGUCCAGACUCCUACGGGAGGCAGCAGUGGGGAAUUUUGGACAAUGGGCGCAAGCCUGAUCCAGCAAUGCCGCGUGCAGGAUGAAGGCCUUCGGGUUGUAAACUGCUUUUGUACGGAGCGAAACGGUCUGCUUUAAUACAGUGGGCUAAUGACGGUACCGUAAGAAUAAGCACCGGCUAACUACGUGCCAGCAGCCGCGGUAAUACGUAGGGUGCGAGCGUUAAUCGGAAUUACUGGGCGUAAAGCGUGCGCAGGCGGUUAUAUAAGACAGACGUGAAAUCCCCGGGCUCAACCUGGGACCUGCACUUGUGACUGUAUAGCUAGAGUACGGUAGAGGGGGAUGGAAUUCCGCGUGUAGCAGUGAAAUGCGUAGAUAUGCGGAGGAACACCGAUGGCGAAGGCAAUCCCCUGGACCUGUACUGACGCUCAUGCACGAAAGCGUGGGGAGCAAACA
This 752-nucleotide ribosomal RNA is filed under the name uncultured beta proteobacterium. Its description in RNAcentral is "bacterial SSU rRNA". It matches the Rfam family "Bacterial small subunit ribosomal RNA", at positions 29 to 774 of the family's 1533-position model. The record is from RNAcentral. Lineage: Bacteria; Pseudomonadati; Pseudomonadota; Betaproteobacteria.